UACCUUGAGGCCUACAAAUAC
Molecule: non-coding RNA, 21 nt
Filed under: Arabidopsis thaliana (thale cress)
Lineage: Eukaryota; Viridiplantae; Streptophyta; Magnoliopsida; Brassicales; Brassicaceae
Source: RNAcentral